RNAcentral lists this ribosomal RNA (180 nucleotides) under uncultured bacterium. RNAcentral describes it as "partial 16S ribosomal RNA". It matches the Rfam family "Bacterial small subunit ribosomal RNA", at positions 338 to 515 of the family's 1533-position model. The record is from RNAcentral.
CCUACGGGAGGCAGCAGUGAGGAAUAUUGGUCAAUGGACGCAAGUCUGAACCAGCCAUGCCGCGUGAAGGAUGAAGGCCUUCUGGGUUGUAAACUUCUUUUAUUGGGGAAGAAAAUUACGGUUUCUACUGUAACCGACGGUACCCAAGGAAUAAGCACCGGCUAACUCCGUGCCAGCAGC